CUAGGAUUAGAUACCCUAUUAUUUAAAAUUUAAAAACUAAAGUAUUAAUAGUUAUGUGCUUUAAAUUUAAAAAAUUUGGCGGUAUUUUAGUCUGUUCAGAGGAACCUGUUUUAUAAUCGAUAUUCCACGUUGGACCUUACUUUAAUUUAUAAAUUAGUUUAUAUACCGUCGUUAUAAAAAAUUUUAUAAGAAUAAUAAUUUUUAAAAUUAAAUAUCAGAUCAAGGUGUAGCUUAUAUUAGAGAAAAUAAUGGGUUACAAUAAAUUUAUUUAUAUGGAAAUAAAUAUGAAAAAUUUAUAAAAAGUGGAUUUGAAAGUAAAAUUAUAAAGAUUAAUAAUUUGAUUUUAGCUCUAAAAUAUGUACAUAUCGCCCGUCACUCUUAUUAUUAAAAUAAGAUAAG
This 399-nucleotide ribosomal RNA is filed under the name Melaloncha ronnai. RNAcentral's name for it is "partial 12S ribosomal RNA". Lineage: Eukaryota; Metazoa; Arthropoda; Insecta; Diptera; Phoridae. The record is from RNAcentral.